UACGGGGGGGGCAAGCGUUGGUCGGAAUUACUGGGCGUAAAGGGCUCGUAGGCGGCCAACUAAGUCGGAUGUGAAAUCCCCAAGCUUAACUUGGGAACUGCAUCCGAUACUGGAUGGCUUGAAUCCGGGAGAGGGAUGCAGAAUUCCAGGUGUAGCGGUGAAAUGCGUAGAUAUCUGGAGGAAUACCGGUGGCGAAGGCGGCAUCCUGGACCGGCAUUGACGCUGAGGAGCGAAAGCUAGGGGAGCAAACGGG
This 253-nucleotide ribosomal RNA is filed under the name uncultured bacterium. Its description in RNAcentral is "partial 16S ribosomal RNA". It matches the Rfam family "Bacterial small subunit ribosomal RNA", at positions 524 to 776 of the family's 1533-position model. The record is from RNAcentral.